Gadus macrocephalus (Pacific cod) is the source of this 1167-nucleotide long non-coding RNA. RefSeq lists it as uncharacterized. NCBI's taxonomy places the organism in Eukaryota, Metazoa, Chordata, Actinopteri, Gadiformes, Gadidae. The transcript is spliced from 2 exons. The record is from RefSeq and is a predicted model, not a curated record.
UUGAUUUUUGAGUGCCGCUGCCGAUGCAGAUUAUUUUCAGAGAAAAAUUACGAUUACGAUUUAAUCGGCCGAUUUAAAAAAAAUAAAUAAAAAAAAUAUAUAUAAAACGUAGUUUUUGAUACCUUAAAUAUACUUUAAACACUUUUGACGAAUAUGUGAAUUGAAUGCAGAAUCUUGCAUUCAAUGCAGUGUUUUAGAAUACAUUUACAGUCAAAAAUGAGUGUAAUGUAAAAUGUAAAAUAAAUAACUAACUCCCAAUGUGCUGCGCUCGUGAGCAGUGACUAACACGUGCGUGCUGAGCAGUAUGGUCUCACCGUUAGAGUCUACAGUAUAACAAAUGAACAUGGCCUGGGACCUAAAGAAAAACAGGCACAACAUGCUCAAACAACGCGUCUUGUGUACAUUGGUGAGGUGAGCGCUCAGCUGCCUGAGCGAGCGUGCUUUCAUGUUGUACGGUAAAAUUCAAUCUCCUCUUUUUUACUCCAGCUAAAGUUGUUAGUUAGCAAGGCGAGUAGGAGCGCAAUCUGCAGGAUACUAAUCGCAAUAACAUUUAUAAUAAAAAAUAAAAUAAAAUCGGCUAUAAUCGGCCGAUUAAAUCGGCAGGCCGAUAAAUCGGUCAGGCCCUAGUCUUAGGAAUGAAUCCCGUUUGUGCACACAUGUGGUGAGGGUGGCGGCCAAACGGUUUGCAUUGAUUCUGUCCAUAAAUUCUGUCCAUUUUUCCAAAAUAAAGUGGAAUCAAUGAUGUUGUAAAAUCCCGAACCUUGAAGGAAGUUAAAAUAGAAUAUGUAUUUAGUGCAGGUAAUAAUAAAGGUGAUAAUGAAUGGAUACUACCUCCUGCAGGAGGACGAAGUAUUUACGCCACAUUAAAGCCCUCAUAACGCAUACCUUUUUGAGAUACUUUGUGGUCUCGCUUGGCGCUCUUAUCCAAGCGACAUCGAGGUGUGGCUGACCACUAGUAGAUGAGGGGGUGGGGGGCAGGGCACGGUGCAGCGCAAUCUAGAAAGAUCUGCUUGAAAUAAAUAGCUAUGACGCCAUCACUGAGCCUGUUGACACCCAUCAACGCGUCGGCUCGGCCAACGCAUCGGCACGUCUUUCACAAACAAAUGUUGCAUACUACUAAUCUUUUCUUUACUAUGGUUCCCUUCAUUCUUCCCUUAACCUACAAAA